CCAUAAGCCCUGAUGUAACUUAAACCACAAAUUUAAACUUCAAUCAAGGAGCAUCCCAUUGAC
Molecule: small RNA, 63 nt
Filed under: Helicobacter acinonychis str. Sheeba
Lineage: Bacteria; Pseudomonadati; Campylobacterota; Epsilonproteobacteria; Campylobacterales; Helicobacteraceae
Source: RNAcentral